This 301-nucleotide ribosomal RNA is filed under the name uncultured bacterium. Its description in RNAcentral is "partial 16S ribosomal RNA". It matches the Rfam family "Bacterial small subunit ribosomal RNA", at positions 509 to 807 of the family's 1533-position model. The record is from RNAcentral.
CAGUAGCCGCGGGAAAACGAAGGGGGCUAGCGUUGCUCGGAAUUACUGGGCGUAAAGGGAGCGUAGGCGGACUGUUUAGUCAGAGGUGAAAGCCCAGGGCUCAACCUUGGAAUUGCCUUUGAUACUGGCAGUCUUGAGUACGGAAGAGGUAUGUGGAACUCCGAGUGUAGAGGUGAAAUUCGUAGAUAUUCGGAAGAACACCAGUGGCGAAGGCGACAUACUGGUCCGUUACUGACGCUGAGGCUCGAAAGCGUGGGGAGCAAACAGGAUUAGAUACCCCGGUAGUCCCUGUCUCUUAUAC